Molecule: long non-coding RNA, 2478 nt
Organism: Triticum aestivum (bread wheat)
Lineage: Eukaryota; Viridiplantae; Streptophyta; Magnoliopsida; Poales; Poaceae
Exons: 3
Source: RefSeq, a predicted model, not a curated record
UCCUCUCUCCCUCGCCUCGUCUCCUACGAUUUCGCCUCUCAAUAACGAAUCCGGAUCCGUGGAGAUCGACCUUAGAGGCCACGCUGGGAGGCACCAGAAAGAGGAGAGGUCGCGACCGACUGCUGAUGAGGAGAGAGCGCAGCGCGGUGGAUGAAAGCAUGUGUCGCACGGACGCCUCAUGGACGUCGGCGCCGACUCCUGCUCCUUCGGCUCGCCUUCCUCGCUUCGUCGCCGCACAAUCGGUUCCUCCCUCUCGGCCUCCUCUUUCCCCACCCCUCUUUGCCGUACACGGCGGCAGAAGGUUCGCAUCUAUGAGUAGUUUCUUUGAUUCAUGUGGCUGUGUUUUCUUACUUCAUUUUGCGCCAAUCCCAUGCUCUUCGCCUAUUCGUUGUUACGCUGCAUCGUUGUAUGGCUGUGUAUGCAUCUUGUAUUGUUGGUCUGAUUUCCCCCCUUUUGCCUUCAAAGUGCUCUGCUUCAUGAUGCGUCUCCUCUACACUUCAGGUAUGCUUGUUCGUGCAUCUGGCAUGUAUAUACGCCAGCUUUCGUUCGUAUGCUCAUAAUUUGUUCACUGCAGUUUACUUUCAUUAUUAGAAUACAUCAAAUUUAUUAGUUUGACCGACUGUUGUCUAUUGUGCGUGUGCACAUGAUAUGAAUGGAACCAAUCCUGCGCUGAUCGUGUUGUUGCGGCUAAACGUUUCGCUGCUCGGCGGUGUAGUGUAGCGUAGUCUCUACUCGUACUGCUAUGUUCCAGUGUACAUGCAUACUUUCAUGAACUUGUGAGGAUCAUGGUAUUAAAUGUUUUCUGUAUGAGUAAUUCCUUUUUGCUUGUGGUGUCAUUUUUUGUGCUAAUUUAUUUUGGAUUUUCUUUGUUUCAUGGCUAUUUUCUUAUGAUCACAAGUGACUUCUGGCAAAAGAUUGGGAACAAAGCUAUGCAAGAAUUAUUAUUUUUGGUCCUGUGGAAGGUAUGAUUCUUGUGUAGAACCCCACUAGACUUCUUAAUUCUCAGGUCAAGAAUCAUCUUCCUUCAACAAGAUUCAAUUUGUAUGCAUUUCUUUAGUUCAUCAAUAUCCUGGUUAGGUCCAUGGCCAGCCUGCUCGGUUCAGGCUUCGAGUUUCACUCGGUUGCCGCCUAGUGGAAUUUCCUUUUACUUUCUUUUGCUUGAAAUCGAAAGCCGCCUUCUAGAGCAUAUCACUUGUUUGCCAAUUCGACCGCAGAGGAGACAAACGAGGGAUGUCGCCCCGCACGACGAGGAGGGGGGAGCAGGAUGUCGUCCACCGCCCGGCGCGGCCACCCGACGCUGGUGAAUAACGAUGGGGCCGCCUGGCGGGGACGGCGAGGUUGGUGUUGGCAACUGCUGCGAGAGGCUGUUAGAUACGUCAUCGGUGUCGUUCUUCUGCUCGAGGCAGCCAUCUUCCACGUGCUCCUCUGAAAGUUCCUCCUCACCACCACGGGUGGAUGCCGGGACCAAACUGGGACCAAGAAGGUUUUGUUGCAUUGUUAUCCUUUUCUAACUCGGCCACACUAGGUUCAGUUCACUUGUCAUCAAAGCCACCGUCAACCAGUGGAACUUCAAGAAACUUCCUCUCUAAUUGUUAGCUGGCCACUACAACGGUUCUUCAGUAUAUAGAGUUUCAUGUUGAGAUUUCGAUAAUCCCAGGACAUCAGAUCUCUUUGCCAUGCCUGAUGGCCUAAUGGAGUUGUGCAACAUAUGUAAGGAAGGUGAAGGUCUGAGUCUGAAGUAAAUGAUACUAAGAUUGUAAGAAUGAGGUGAUAUCAUCCAGAUGUAAAUUGAAUGUUUUAGUUACCAUGUACUGUAGUUUUGAUCUCUUAUUUUUGGCAAAUGAUUCUUGGUAGUCAGUCACAUAUCGUGUAGUCCAGAUUUUGUAAUUUUUGGUUGCAUGCUCAUACUAAUAUUUAUUCUUUCUGCUACCGCAUCUGGCAGUGUCAUAUGUGCAAUCUCAGAUGAAUACAUGAUAAGUUCUGCAAGUUUAUUUCAAGAUAUUUUUUUGUAAAAUUUAUUAUAGAAUAGCAUGAUAGAGUGCGUAAUGUAACAGAACAUGUUACUUAAAUACCUACCAUAUUGUCAUGGGUUUUAGUUGAUUAUUACAAUCUUUGGUGUUUUACAUGCUCAUUUAUGUUAUUUAUCAUUUUCAUGUACGAGCUUUAUGUAAUUGUGGUGAGGACUAGUGAUGGUUGUACUGUCGGUUAUCCUAUGGUUGAAACCAUUCAUAAGUAAUAUAUCACAUAUAUGGUGCCAUUACAAUGUCAAGGAGCAUUAUAUUUGAAAUCACAUACAUGUUUAUGGAUCAUUAUGUUCUAAAUUAUCAUUUUUACAUGGACAGAGGCGAACAACCUCAAGGGAAGUAAUCAUUUAAGGUUUUCCAUUUUUUGGUUUGCAACACAAUGCACUCAAGAAGGGUAAUCGCGAGUUUUUGAAUCCAAGGAGGUUGACCAUUGUCUUUUAUGGCGAGUUCUAUA